AAAGAGCUGACCAAAUCACCCUCUGAUGAUGAUGAUCUUGUUGCAAUAUUACUGUUUCCAUUGACCCUCCUGCAGUUCAAUCUAAUCUCCCCUUGAUUUCCUGUCAGUGGUUUCAAAUUUCCCAUUCUUAUCAUUGAGGUCACAAAGUUUUUAAAGAAAGCAUUCUGGUUCCUCCCAAAGUCCUCGACAAUGGCAGCGGUAUCGGCACCAGGAGUCGAAAAUAACUCUUGAUCACUCUGCAGAAGGCCUUUGCGGCCUCUAAGAUUGGAGAAGUAUUUGUUGUCGAAAACAUCAGGUGUCGUGACAUCAAAAUUAGCAAGAACGCCGCCGUUUCCACCUUGUGGGCAUAGUUUCCUCAGUUGUUGUAAGAAGGUUGCGUCUAGGGUUGGGUCUGGCUUGCCAGUGUUGUUAAAAUCGUAUAAUCUGCCCCUGAAAAAUUGGCACUGAGCCCUUCCGAACGUGUGUGCUCCUGAAAAACAUGCAUGACCAAAUCUUUGUUAUUUUUACUGAAUUCACAUACGAGGAACAAUAAUGAUAAUUUUAUUGUUAGGGAUAUUAUUUAAAUUUGGAGUUAAGUAAAUAUAAAUUUAAGGCACCAACACUCAUUUCGUGAAUUAACUUUUGAGUAUGAGUUACUAGUAGCAGGCAGUUUUGACUCCUAAAAGUUUACUCUCAUAACUUUACUCAAGUAACUAAAAGGAUGUAGAAGCAAUUAAUAAUUACCGGAGAGUGCAACAAGAUCAAGCUUGUCAUUGAGGCCAACAUUUCUAAAACUAGAUUUGAGCUCAUCAAGAGUAUCAAAUGGUCCUGGAAGAUUCUGAUUUGCAAGAGCUCUGUUUGCCGUUCUGCUGUCUCUUCUUCCCAAUGGAACUGCCCAUGACGGACCCCCUGACUGUAACCAAGAGCCAUUCACUCAAAAUCAGCAAUAAUCUUAAGAGAUGUGCGUUUGGGGCGGACUAUUUAAUUUGCUAGCCGUUGAAUCAAAACUUUGUCGUAUAACAAAAGAAGAAAACUUUUAAGUUUAAAACUAAGGCCUUGCUACUACGAUGCACCAGCGCAGUAAAAAGUGUCUCGCUGUCGGUAACAAUUUAUCCGUCAAUAUUCACUAUAUUGCCAUACGUGUAGCAAUUUUGGUACCAUACAGUGUAGCUAAUGCACCAUAGUCAAUAAAUCACCCCUUUUAAAUAAUGGAGUCCACCACAUCGUCCGAAUUUAAAAAUGAUGGGUCCAAGGAUGAAUCCCUUCACUUAAAUCAACUUCCACAUGGUGGGACAAUUUUGUCGUUGAAUAGCAGAUGCAAUAACUAGCAAAGGCUAGUAAAGGCUAAACAUAGACAAUUUUGUCAAAAAAACUAGCAAAGGCUAAACAUGUGGACCCAGAUCUUGCACAUUGUUCUAUGUAAAUAAUUAUUUAAUUAAUGUAUUCUUCUAAGGGUAAAGUUGAACUCACGGGUUAUUUAAUUAACUGAAAAAAUAAUAUAAAAACACGUUAAAUUUAUAGGGGUUAUUAUUAAUUGAAAAAAAUAGUUAAAAAUUACAUUAAUACUGCAAAGGUUUACCAUUAUUCUCUUAACUUAUUCUGAUACCCAUAUUAAUUUACUUCUAAGCGUAAAAUAUUAACCAGGAAGAGGAGUUGGUAAUAGAAAUUCAUUACCAAAGCAACGGAUCGUUCAGCCGCAAUAGUAAGAAUAUCAGCGCAGGAAACAACCCUUGGACAUGCCCUUUCAACGGCAGCUUUCAUGUUAUCAAUAACUUCAAAACCCCUCGCCGAAUUGUUAUUUGGCGCAGCAAAUUUCUCGCUGUCUAUGGUGUUAGUGCUGUCCAGCAAAAUCGAUGCAUCACACCCCUGAAAAAAUAAUAUUAAUUAACAACUUGCUAUGUUAACAGUCCAUUGUAUUGUUAGUUUUACAAGUAGAUAGAUUCCUUCUUAUCUUAUGGACAGGAAUUCAAAAAAAUUAUAUAAAUAAUGCAAACUCUUCUUGUUUAAAUUGUCUUAUUAUUACAUAUGUUUUUAUGACUAGGAUUUCCUGUUGAUUUAAAUUUUCGGCUGGAAGAAUAUAAAACAAGUGUGAUUUAUUUUCAACCAUACACCAUUAAUAUUGGACCCAUGAUCAUUAAAAGCACUCAGCAGGGGUGAGGCCAUGAGAUGGAUUUUAAUUCCUGUUUUGGACCAAAUCUUUACUAGAUUAAAAUUUUUAGUGCAUGAAAACCCCAUAUUAAAAUUUAUUUAUAAAAAAAGAAUUACAUGGUCUUCGGUACAUCCAAAUUAGAGAGGAAAGUUUUGUUGUACGGCUGAAGCGAAAAAAUCAGAUCUUUUAGCUUGGGGUUGGGGGUGAGGAUCUCUACGUGCAUGAAUAUGCGGUCAGAAGAAGAAUGCAAUGAGUAGCAGACAGAUAAAAGAGAAAAUAUAUAUAAAUGGUUUUGGAAGUUGUUGAACAUAAAAUGAUAUAUUCAAACUCUUCCUUAGGCUUUAUGAAAACUCUAUAUUUUGUUUAAUGCCAUAAAAAAUUAUAAAGAUACUGUUCAUUGACAUACUUGAAACUAUGUUAUAUCAGUAAGUACAUGGACAGAGAGCUUGAUAAAGUAAAGAAUAUGAAAAAUGAGAGAGCAGAGAUUGCUUACAUCAACAAAACAGUCAUGGAAAUGAAGCCUGAUGAGGCUGGCACCGAUCCGGAUAUCGGACGAGAAAGCUUUCUUAAGCACAUCCUCGAUAGUGUUCAAUACAUUAGGGCAUGUGGAAGAAUAAAAAGAUGGAGAAAGUUGAGCUUGAGAUGGUGAUCCCUCAAGCACAAAAGCAACAAGAAGAGCUGCUGCGAGAAGAUAACGAAGUGAAGCCAUUUUGUCUAAGAGUUACUAGAGAAAGGCCUCUUUAUUUAUAACCAAACAAACCAGAUUAGUAUUAGAACUUUGCAGCAACCUCGAAGUUCCUCGUUUCACUGUUUGAAUAGGUUAGUUACGUUAUUAAUUCUCUUAAUUAGGUUUAUGUGAUUUUUUUCUUUUUGAAACUAACGUGGCCCAUGUGACCAUCUAAGUAAACUAUAUGGAUGUAGAUGUCUUUUUUUUUUUUAUUAGUAAAAUAAAAUAACUAGUUAAUUUUCUUUUUUAAAUUUCAUUCAAUUUUUUCUUUCAUGUUUAAAAGCUUAAGUCUUCAAUUAGAUUCUUCAAUUUUAAUUUUUUUUCAAAUACAAUAUACUAAUUACGGUGCAUUUAAAAUUAUAUUUCUUAUUUUCAUAAUGAUCUUGAAAUUUACAAAUAACCUUCGUUUUUGCGGAGAGAAUAUAAGAAAGAGGAAUAUUUGUUUGUAAAAUUUUAUUAAAAAAAAGUAUAAAUGAACGUAUUAGAAAUGCAUGUAUAUCAAACUUAUUUGAGAAUAAAAACUUAUUAAAAUGAAAUCCAAAAUCCUGAGUAAUUAUUCAUGAAAAGAGGGACUAAGUUGAUAAUUCUUGAAAUGGUGCCUUUAUUAGGUAGGGGCGGCGACGCCUUGAGUCGCUUUUGUUUAAUGCCGGCUUACCUGUCUCUUUUAUCGUAUGUGUGAAUGCGGAGCAUGUGGCGUGUGGAUUCCACGUAUUCGAAAUCCUUCAUUUCAACCUUUUGGAACUUUUCAUUUGUUUACCGAAAUGUCAAAUAUCAUUUUGUCAGCUUAUACAUAUUUAGAUGCGAGAUCGAGGCUUUUUAUGUGGAAAUGGUCUUGUAUCAAUAAUUAUGAUUUUACGUAUGGAUAAUUUUGUUAGAGUGUAAUUUAUGUAUUAAUUUUAAAUUUUUUUUUUAAUAUUGAUAUUUUAUACUUAAUAAUAGUGAUUUACUUGUGUUUUAUUUUUACAGGUGCAAUUCUAUUGAUUGGUGCUAAAAUUUAGUUACAAGAUGAUGUUUAAGGAUGAUUGUUCUCUUAGAGAAAUUAUGAGCGUCAGAAGAACUUUGUUGAUAAGACGUGGGCGCGUACUGUCAACUACGGACUGCAGUUUUUAGUUUAACGUGUUUUGUAUUUUUGGUUUUUUUGUAAUUACGAAUUUAAUAUUUCAGAUAUUAGUAUUUUAUUUUAAAUAGAACUCUAAAGGAGAAGAAAGAGAGAGUGUUUAAGGGAGGAAUCUAUUGUGAACCAGGGGAGAUUGGGGACAAAAAGGAAGAAAUCCUAGAUCUAAACUUUUUUCUUCUCUCUAUGAAGAACUAAAACUAUUUUUCUGGUUGAAGGAUAAUGAAACUUUGAUUCAUCACUACUGUGAGAUCUUUCUUAUACUUUAAUUGUUUUAUUACUUUUUGGGUAUUUGUUUAUUCUCUAAAUUAUUCUCAUGAUUAUGUUUGUUAAUUAGGUAAUUGGCCACUAUUUAAUUAUCAACUUAAUAUAUUGUCAAUUAAAGGAUUUAUCGUAUGAAGAUUUUAAUGUUUGUGACAAAUAACGUAGCAGUGAGUUGUGUUAUGAGAAUAAACAAUCUAAUUUAAAUGAACAAUCAUAUGUAUUUGUUGAUUAUGAUUUGGGUCUCUCUGGUUUUUCAGGCUGUCAAUUGAUUAAAUCCUAUGAUCGUAUCUAGGGUUGUCUAUUGAUUAGGGAAAUAGCCAACAGUCGUACCUUGGUUAUCAACUAGUUAAGGAGAGAUUGACUAUUAGAGGGUCUCGGUAGCUAUAACUGGUCUAUUUAUAAGUAGUAAUAAUUUAUAUUUAAAUCAAUGAUCAGUAGUCGAAUCAAGCUGAGUUAAUUCCUUCAACCAGAGCUUUCUCCAAUUUGAAUUACAACUUUAAUUUGCAUUCUUGUUAUUUUAAUUUAAUUUUUAUUAUUGUCAACAAAACCCCCAUUUUAUGUUUUACGUUUCAAAAGGAUUUAAAUAAUUACCGAUCUCUGUGGACACGAUCCUGCUCAAUCACUAUCCACAAUUUAUUCAUUCGCAACAAAAUAUUUUCUUUGUGCGGCGGUAAAAAAAAAAUGAUUUUUUGGAGAGAGACUAUUUCACCAAUCGAGUCACAGGUAUCUAACAUUUAAGUCAUAGUUAUUAUGGACUUGCCUAUCGUGCAACAGUGGCACCAUGCCACCGCUUUUGUCUUUUUUUGUGUAAAAUUUCAUAAAGUCCUUUCACUUAUUCUUAUUUGAACUUUCCUUCACAAAUAUUAAGUUCAUUUCUAUCAAACCCGUGAAUCCUUCAACGGCCGAUCAACGGCAAAUCGGCUCCUCCGGUGGCUGUGGUUGGUCAGAAAAGACAGAGGGAACUGUGGAGAACAAAGCCCAAGUAGUGGCGUCACCGAAAACCGGAGAAACCGCGGCGAAUUGAAGCAGGAUUUUGUGACUUUUCACGGCUUCGAUCGGCAGCUUUCCGAAUGUUUUACGGCGACAAGGAUGACAUGGAGAUUACCGGCGUCGCACAAGCUUCCGAUCGAUACCAACCUUGGCUGGUGGAGUAGCCGGAAACGGAAACAAAAUCCGGGUCAGUUUCGCGAGUCGGGUUGACCCAGUUAUUUUUGCUACAAGGAUGGCGUGGAGAUAACCGGCGUCGCACGAUCUUCCGAUCGGUACCAACCUUGGCCGGUGGCGUGGAUAAAAAUGGAAACGAAAUUCGAGUCGGGUUCACUGGUAUUUGUGAUAAAGAGAGGGGUAUUGUAAUAAAGGUGCAAUAUAGAAGAAAAAUGUAUAAAUUGCAAAUAGUAUAAGGUGCUAUUUAUAAUGUUUAUAUGGAUGCAAUAGAAAUUAAUUUAAUAUUUAUGAGGUAAAGUUUAAAUAAAAAUGAAUGAAAGGGGUUCAGAGACAUUUUACAACACUGUUGACACAAAAGAUAACUAUGAUUGUACCGUAGGAUCCAGUUAUUAUAGUCAAAAAAAUAAUUUAUUAAAUAAAAAUUAAUAAUAUAAUAUUUAAAUAAUAAUUUUGCUAAAAGUAGUAAAGAUAUUAGAAAAUUUUCAUCGUGAGUUUAGAUCAUCUCAGUUUUUAAAGUACAGAAAUAAGCGGUGGUUCUCUCACGCGGACACCCGUAGCUUAAAAAAUAUGCGGACACUCACGUUUUGACCGUUGGAUCCCAUCAACGGCUGAAUUAAGUUGUGACGUAAAGACAACUACUGACAUUUUCGGCAUGUAGGCCCGGUCUUCAAAACUUUGAAAAAAAAAAAAAACCAGUUCUUUUAUUCAAUGGCACCAUGUGAGUAUAAAAGCACAAUAAUUUCUUUCCUUUUUUUCCCCCAAAACUAACUUGUUGAUUUUUAUUUGGGAAAUUUUUAAACUAACCUCAAAUAAAUUGAUAUCUUGCACGGCGCAUCUAAAAAAAUAACGUGUUGCACCGCGUCCUCAAUUCUAUUAAUUUUUUAGUUAUUUUUAAUGACUCUGUUUAACUUUUGAUUGAAUGAUAAAAAUACCUCUCUAUAUGAAAAAAAAUUUUUUUAGCUCAUUUAAUUUUUUUUAAGUUUUUAUUUCAAUUGCAAUAAAAAAAUUUCUUGUUACAUGUACAUUGUUACCACUAUUAUUUUUCCUUUAAUUUUUUAAAAAUUUUUAUUUCAAUUACAAUAAAGAGAAUUCCUAUUAAAAUUAAUUUAAGAAAUAAAUUUCUCAUUUUACCCCACCACUAUUAAAUUUAACUGAGAAAAUAACAAAAUUAAAAGCACAUGCAACAAGUCAAAUUUUUUAAGAACGCAGUGCAAAAUAUCCAAUUAUUUGGGGUAGGUUAAAAAUUUUCCUUUUUAUUUUUCAAUUUUCAAAGAUCAAUUUACAGUCAUCAUCAUCACCUUUUUUGCUUCUCCAUCUUUCCAUCAUCAAAAUUAUCCUUCCGAUCGAAGAAGAUGAAAGAAAGAAGAAAAACACACUUCGGUAAGUCACCCAAAAAAAAAAAAAAAAAACUUAACGACCCAUCUAAAUAAUCAAGCUGAAAGGUAUCUCUAACAGAAGAUUUUCUCAAAAAAAAAAAAAUUGAAGAAGAAAAACACAGGCCAGGACAUUCUUAAGAAACUUGAAAGUUCAUGAAAGAAAACAAAAUGAAGCAUUUAAGCCACAGGUAAGGAAUAUUAGAAGAUUAACAUGUUGGACACUAAAUUAUUUAAAUUAUUUAUUAAAUAAUUUAGUGUUAUAUUUUAAAAGGUACAGCGGUCUUACUUUAAUUGAAACCACAAGUAGGAGUUAAAUAAUUAAGAAACGACAGGAUGACUUUUUGAAAUGGGUAAAAAAUGAUUUUAUUAAUGAUCAUGAAAAAGGUAACUGUGGCUACUGGCUACAAGUGUUUUCUUUUCUGGGGAAAAAGGAUCAUAAUAAUUGCGAAAUGGUUUAGUGAAAUAGUACGGAGAUUUUAUUGGUUUUAGAAAUUAUAUAGGCUCUUUUUUGGUACACACAGACCCCAAAAAUUGUAAAAUAGAUUUUUAAAAUUUGUCCAAAAAUAAGUUUUGUUAUCCCAUAAAAAAGGUAUGUAUUGAGUAUUUCUGAAAAUAAAAGAUUCUUCCCUACUAUUUUGUCAAACUACGCAUGUUUGACAAAAAGUACAAAGAAAUUUGUAAGAAUAAGGUGUUUUUCCGGUUAGUAUUUUAAAGCUAGAGGAUAAAAUGGACCACUAAAAACAGAAAAAUGACUCAAAUGACAAUGUGUAUCGAUGACAUAGGAGAAAAAAAUACACAUGACAAGGAUUUCUGAUACAAAGAAAGCAAGGAUGUGAAUACACAAACACAACCUUAGUUUAUUGAAAAUAAAAAGCAUGUUUCAGGCAAAACAUAGGAGUAAAUUCACGAGUUUGUUACCCACAAACUAGCUUAUUUAGAAAGAGCUGAUCAGAUCACCCUCUGACGAUGAUCUGGUUUCUAUAUUACUGUUUCCAUUGACCCUCCUGCAGUUCAAUCUAAUCUCCCCUUGAUUGCCUGUCAAUGGUCUCAAAUUCCCCAUUCUUAUCAUUGAAAUCACAAAGCUUUGAAAGAAAGCAGCCUGGUUGCUACUAAAGACAUUGACAAUGGCAGCGGUAUCGGCACCGGGAGUCGAAAACAAUUCUUGAUCACUCUGCAGAAGGCCCUUGCGGAUUUGAAGAUUGAAGAAGUAUUUGUUGUCAAACAAAUCAGGUGUUGUGACAUCCAGAUUAGUUAGAACGCUGCCGUUUCCACCUUGUGGGCAUAGUUGCCUAAGUUGUUGUAAGAGGGUUGUGUUAAGUGUUGGGUCUGGAUUGCCAGUGUUGUUGAAAUUGAAUAACCUAUCGCUAAAAGUUCGGCACUGAGCCCUUCCAAAUGUGUGAGCUCCUGAAAAACAUGCAUAGCCAAUCUUUGUUAUUUUUACUCAAAUUCAUACAAAUUAAGGAUAAUAAUUGAGUUUCAUUAUGGUGGUUCUCUUGGGAAGCAAUUCAAAUUUCAUGAUGUGAUUAAGGGGAGUAAAUUUGUCAAACGUUUUAACAUAUUCCUAAUCACCAAUGUCAAACUUUAAAACACAGUUUCUUCGCAUCAUUAGGAUAUUCAGUCAAGCCUCCUAGGUGCUGUAGAGUAUGAAUGUGCUUUGUGUCGGUGGUCGUCUUAGUAAGAGUAAUAAUGAGAAAAAAAUUGAUAUUUAGUGGAUGAGACAUCCUUAUCAAAAUUUAUUUUUUUCUUUUUAAAUAAGAUAUUCAACAUUUAAACUAUCUCUAAGAUUUCAAGACUCAGUAUUGGCAUUAAAAAAUUUUCCACCUCCAGAUUUCUAAUUCUGGCUCCAAUACUGCUUUAUCCCAAAAGACUCCAAGGUCUGUUUGUACUCAAGUCAAAGGGCGUAAAAGCAAAUAUUACCGGAGAGUGCAACAAGAUCAAAAUUAUCGUUGAGGCCAACAUUUCUGAAUCUAUCUUUGAGCCUCGUAAGAGUAUUGUUCGGUCCUGGAAGAUUUUCAUUUGCAAGAGUCCUGUUUGCGGUUCUGCUGUCUCUUCUUCCCAAUAGAUUUGUCCAUGAAGGACCCCCUGACUGUUACCAAAACGACGAUCAUUAGUCAAAAGCAUCACUUGAGAGAUGCAUAAUAAGCAANNNNNNNNNNNNNNNNNNNNNNNNNNNNNNNNNNNNNNNNNNNNNNNNNNNNNNNNNNNNNNNNNNNNNNNNNNNNNNNNNNNNNNNNNNNNNNNNNNNNNNNNNNNNNNNNNNNNNNNNNNNNNNNNNNNNNNNNNNNNNNNNNNNNNNNNNNNNNNNNNNNNNNNNNNNNNNNNNNNNNNNNNNNNNNNNNNNNNNNNNNNNNNNNNNNNNNNNNNNNNNNNNNNNNNNNNNNNNNNNNNNNNNNNNNNNNNNNNNNNNNNNNNNNNNNNNNNNNNNNNNNNNNNNNNNNNNNNNNNNNNNNNNNNNNNNNNNNNNNNNNNNNNNNNNNNNNNNNNNNNNNNNNNNNNNNNNNNNNNNNNNNNNNNNNNNNNNNNNNNNNNNNNNNNNNNNNNNNNNNNNNNNNNNNNNNNNNNNNNNNNNNNNNNNNNNNNNNNNNNNNNNNNNNNNNNNNNNNNNNNNNNNNNNNNNNNNNNNNNNNNNNNNNNNNNNNNNNNNNNNNNNNNNNNNNNNNNNNNNNNNNNNNNNNNNNNNNNNNNNNNNNNNNNNNNNNNNNNNNNNNNNNNNNNNNNNNNNNNNNNNNNNNNNNNNNNNNNNNNNNNNNNNNNNNNNNNNNNNNNNNNNNNNNNNNNNNNNNNNNNNNNNNNNNNNNNNNNNNNNNNNNNNNNNNNNNNNNNNNNNNNNNNNNNNNNNNNNNNNNNNNNNNNNNNNNNNNNNNNNNNNNNNNNNNNNNNNNNNNNNNNNNNNNNNNNNNNNNNNNNNNNNNNNNNNNNNNNNNNNNNNNNNNNNNNNNNNNNNNNNNNNNNNNNNNNNNNNNNNNNNNNNNNNNNNNNNNNNNNNNNNNNNNNNNNNNNNNNNNNNNNNNNNNNNNNNNNNNNNNNNNNNNNNNNNNNNNNNNNNNNNNNNNNNNNNNNNNNNNNNNNNNNNNNNNNNNNNNNNNNNNNNNNNNNNNNNNNNNNNNNNNNNNNNNNNNNNNNNNNNNNNNNNNNNNNNNNNNNNNNNNNNNNNNNNNNNNNNNNNNNNNNNNNNNNNNNNNNNNNNNNNNNNNNNNNNNNNNNNNNNNNNNNNNNNNNNNNNNNNNNNNNNNNNNNNNNNNNNNNNNNNNNNNNNNNNNNNNNNNNNNNNNNNNNNNNNNNNNNNNNNNNNNNNNNNNNNNNNNNNNNNNNNNNNNNNNNNNNNNNNNNNNNNNNNNNNNNNNNNNNNNNNNNNNNNNNNNNNNNNNNNNNNNNNNNNNNNNNNNNNNNNNNNNNNNNNNNNNNNNNNNNNNNNNNNNNNNNNNNNNNNNNNNNNNNNNNNNNNNNNNNNNNNNNNNNNNNNNNNNNNNNNNNNNNNNNNNNNNNNNNNNNNNNNNNNNNNNNNNNNNNCAACGGCAGCUUUCAUGUCAUCAACAACUUCAAAACCCCUCGCCGAAUUAAUAUUUGGCCCAGCAAAUUUCUCGCUCACUAUGGUAGUAGUAUUGUCCAGCAAAAUCGAUGCAUCACAGCCCUGAAAUAACGUCAAAAACUCUUUCUGAUCAACUGCUGUUGUAUCGUUAAUUUAAUAAUUAGGUAGAUUCUUCUUAUCUUACGAUUAAGAAAAAUAAUGAAUAUUUGUGCAUUUUCUUUUUGGAUAAACAUACACAUAUAUACAAAUUUUCUUAUUGUAUAAUAAGUUUUUAAAACCAGGAUAUCCUCGUGACGUAAGCUUUUUCCGAGUUUAAUUGUGAUUAUUAGAAGUUAAGGAUAUAAGUGUAUGUAGUUAUAGUUCAAUCAUAUGCUACUAAUAAUAGGCAUGUUACACAAAAUUUUUAAAAAUACUAUGCAGAAUUCAGAUUAGGAGAGGACCUUAAUUCAUGUUUUAAAAUAUUAAUUGAAGAAGAAGAAAAAUUAAAGAGUAGAGAUUGAUUACAUUAACAAAACAGUCAUGGAAAUGAAGCCUGAUGAGGCUGGCACCGAUCCGGAUAUCGGACAAGAAAGCAUUCUUAAGCACCUCCCGAAUUAUGUUGGUUACAUUAGGGCAUGUGGAAGAAUAAAAAAAGGGAGAAAGUUGAGCUUGAGCUGGUGAUGAUCCCUCAAGCACAAAUGCAACUACAAGAGCAGCUGCAAGAAGAUAACGAAGAGAAGCCAUUUUGCAAUGAUGAGAAUGAGAGUUAUAUCUGCGCCUUCUAUAUACGCGCCUCUUUAUUUAUAGCCAACCAAAUUAAACAGGAGUAGAACUUGGCAACGACUAAGAAGUUUCACAUUAUAUUGUAAAAGUCUACUGUUUGAAAACAAUGGCUUAACUUAUAUGAUGAGAUAAUUACAUUAUCGAUUUUCUCCCUAAAGUUUGGUGAAAGCAUAUUUUUCUCCACAUAUUUUGAGGUGGUAAUGAUAAUUUAUUAAUUGCAUCUCAGUAUUCUAGAAGUAUGUCAAGUGUAGCUCGGUUGAUUGUGAAUGCAUUUUGUAUCUGUGAUCACCCAAGUUCUAAUAAUAAUAUGGGGCAAAGGUGGUUGUUUAGUGGAUGGGAUUUCUUGUCCCCAUAAGAGCUUUUUCUUUCUUUUUUCUUAUUAAACAAAAGAAAAGGCCAUACAACAUGGAUAUUAGAAAGGGACAAAACUCUUGUGCAACUGUUGUACCGUGUCACUAAUUUGUCUCUUAUCUUUUGACCCCUACUUUAUUUUUUAUUUAUAAGUUAUUUAUAAAUUUAUCAUAAAUUUAUUUUUUCUCUUUUCCUCUAUUUAUAUUAAGAUAUUCUAUACAUUUUUUCUCCACUUAGAUAAUUAAUUAAUCAUUAGUCAGCAACUCGGCAACUCCUUUCAAAUUAAAGUAUUAUUAACUAGCCGACUACCUCAAUUAUUUUUCACAUCACAACUAAGACAAAAUGCAAAAAUUUAAUUUGAAUAUUUGAAUGGCAAUUGUGAGGUCAUGGCAAUUGAAUAAAUUAAAAUAAUAAAUCAAAUCUAUCGGUUAUAAGUGAUUGAUGUCAUAUUGAUUUAUAUCUAUAAAUAAAGUUUGAGUUUUAUUAUUUUUGAAUAACUAAUAACUUUCAAAUUAAAUUUUAUUGUAGUUAUUUAUAGUUUUACAUCUAUAAAUAACUAAUAACUUUCAAAUUAAAUUUUAUUGUAGUUAUUUUUUUAUUUAAAGUCCAGUAUGCAUAUAAUUUAAAGUGGCGAUCAAAGUGUAAGGAAAGAAAAUAAUACAUUGUUUUUAUAAUUAUUUAUUUAAUAUUUUAUUUUAGUAAUGUCAUGUUAGUUUUAUUUUUAAGCUAAUUUAUUAAUUGAAUUUUAAUGUGAAGUCAUUACUUAUCUCAUUCCUUAAAUAAAAAAAAUAGAAUUAGAUAUUGAUGUUUAGUUUUAUGUCUGACUUUUUUUAACUUGAGAUAACUUACCCAUUUUUUAAUUGUUUAAAUUAUUCACAAAAAAAAAAUCUGUGAGGAUAUUUCCACUGAGCUUUUUAUGUAACAACACCCUAUCUUUUUAUAUUUUUAUAAUUAUGAUUUUAUAAAUAAAUUAUUCGUAACUCGUGCACUUAUCCUUAAAUCAUAUAUGUUUAACCAAAGAGAAUGAACAGGAAUUUUCUACGAAAGAAUUAGAUUUGUUAGUUUAAAAAUAGACAAUAUUUAUCUUCUUCCUUUCCUUAUAUCUUUCAAGGAAUAAUACGCUGAAUUGUGAGUAUAUAGUUUUGUGGAUGGAAAAUUAGGAUGAACAUUCAAUUUCAAUUUUAAAAUUUUGUUUAUAUACUGCUGAGCUGAUUUCGUAACUGAUGAAAAAUUUGUGUUAUUAGGCAAGAAAAGUUUAAGAUUUUGCAGUUAAAAUUUAUUUGUUUAUUUGUUUAUUUGUUUAUUAUUACUAGUAUUUUCUGUUAUGUAUGUACAUGUUCUCCCCAGAAUGCAUUUUGAUUCAGAAACUACUGUCUGUGCAAUUAGAUGCUGCAAUGUAUGUCAUUUAUAUAUGGAAAUGUCCCUCUUUUAAUUAAAAUGAUUUAUGGCAUGGCAAUAUUGGCAGAAUCGUUUAUGCAUGUCCAUUUUGUUGCCAUUGAAACUUUAUUGAGCUACAAAGCAAGAAGUGUUUUUUGGCCAAACUUUGUGCCAAAAAAAAAAAAAACCGCAAUUGGCCCCUAUUGCAAUUUUCUGGUGACUAAGGGUGAGAAAUUAAAGAAGAAUAAUUCCCCCUUUGUAAUAUCCAAAAUUUCAUUUGUUUGUAAAAAAAAAAUAAUAAUAAUAAUAAAUAAAUCAGCUUAAAUUCUGGUCGACUUAAUUAGGGUUGAAGAAUUCAACUUUGAUAAACGAUAACCUUGGAUUUAGUCCAUGCCAUCGCCCUGCGAAUGUGGACUGUAGGAGGCGUGUGGAUUCCACAUACUCGAAAGUCGAAACCUUUCAUUUCAAGCUUGUAGACUUUUUUCCUUUUUCUUUAUAUUGAAUUAUCAUUUUUGUCAGUUUAUGCAUAAAUAAUUGAUUGAGACACACGGACCGUUGCAGGAGAGAAGAAAAGUUGCUAGAAAUUAGCUGACACAAGGCCAGUUUGCACUGAACUGUUACAUACAGAGUAUGUAACGUAGCUUUGUCCACACCGACAGUACACAAGUAGAGUCAAAUAAUUAAUUACGUGACGUGACGGAUGACAUUUUGAAAAUGAUAUGUUUUUGCUUUUUUUUUUUUUUGAGAAUGGUAUGCUGCUAAUUUUUUUCGUAUUUGUUUUCAAAAAUGAAAAUUGAUGUUUUUUUGUGAUUUCAAAUCUCGCCUCUGAUAAAGUAUUUUAAAAAUUGUAAUCUAAAUAAAUAAAUACCAAACUGGCUUUUGAUUCCCGGACCUUUUAUUUUAAGUUAAGAGAAUUACUAAUUGAACUGAUUUGAACGCACAAUCUAAAGAAUUUUUCAAUAAAGAAAUAUGUUUAAUAUAAUAUUUGAAGAAAGAAAAUGUUACGCAACAAGUACAAAAUCGUAAAAGCAACAUUAAUUUGUGCUGCUUAAGCUUUCAACUUUUCUUCAAGAAAGUAAAAAGUAAAAAGUAAAAACACCAUUUCUGUCGCUUUCCAUAAAUCCUUCAUCAACUCACCGAAUUUUAUUCUGGCCUUAUUCUAUCUCUCCUUUUUAAUUUGAGUAAUGAUACAGUUAUAAACUCUUGUACAAACUUAUUUUAUACAAAUUGAUGUGGCAUGAUAAGAUUGGUUGAAUUAAAUAUCACUUGGCCCACAUGAUUUGUUUUUAUUAAUUUAUAUUUUCAUUCAACCAAUGAAUUAAUGCCACGUCAGUUUAUAUAAAAUAAGUUUAUACAAAAAUUUGUGGCUGUAUCAUUACUCUUUUUAUUUUCCUAUUUAAAUGGAAAAUGGUGUUUAGUUUGGUGACGAGGACAAUAUCUAAUAUCUGCCAAAAAUAGAAAAAUUAUCCCAAAACUACUUUGAAAGAACUUUGGGAUAAUUAAUUAUAUGUAAUUGAUCAAUUUUCACAUCUUAAAUUUUAAAACUCAUAAAAAGUCAAACUCAUAUAUAAGUGAGUUUAGACUAUCAUUUUAUGUGAUAAGAACUAAAAGAAAAUGUUCAACUUACACAUGACAAUGAGUGAUGGGGAUAAGAGCAUAUUUCACGGCUUAUCUGUAGCUAAUAAAAUUAUAGCGUUUUUCAUGCUCUUGUACAUGGAGACUCAUUAAUAUUUUGAAUUCACUUGUAUGAACAAAUCUGAAUUAUCUUUACCUUUCCAUAAUGAAUACUCCUAAUUAAAACAAGAGCGAAAAAGAAAAGAACAUAAAAAUUGUAUUUUCUUACUAAAACUUCAAAAAUUUCUUGGAAAUAGUUAAAAUGAUCAAAUACAUUUGAGUAGAGCUGGCAAAACGGGUCAUCGGGUCGUGUUCGUGUCGUGUCAGCUUCGUGUCGUGUCAAAUUUAGGUCGACCCAAACCCGACCCAUUUAAUAAUCGUGUCAAAAUAUUGAGACCCAAACCCGACACGGAAAAAUAAUCGGGUUACCCAAUAACCCGUUUAAUAUCUAUAUAUUGAACAAAAGUUAUAUCAAAUAUUUACACACUAUCAUACAUACGUGUGUGCAUAAAUACAUAAAUACAUACAUACAUACAUAAUUUAUCGAUAUUAUAAAAUAUACAUAUCUACCAAUAUAUUACACAUGUACACUAUUGAGGUUUUAAUUUUAUAUAUAUAUAUAUAUAUAAUAUUAUAUAUCAAUAUUAUAAAAUAUACAUGUCUAUCAAUUUUUACACAUUUACACUAUUGAAACUCUAAAUGUAUGUAAAAUUUUAUAAAUAAAACAUUGUGUUUAUAUUCACCCUUUUAAAGAAUAAAAAAAAGAAAAUCAUCUCUAAUAUUUGAGUUUUAAUUAUAAGAAUAUGUAAAUUAUUUUAAAAUAGAAAAUAUAAUCGGGUCAUUGAUCGGGUAAAUGGGUCAAGAAUUUUAACCCAAACCCGACACGGAAAAAAAUCGUGUUGACCCGGACCCGACCCAUUUAAUAAUCGUGUUAAAUUUGACGACCCAUACCCAUUUAUUUAUGUCGUGUUCGUGUCGGGUAAUCGGGUCGUGUCAAAUUUUGCCAGCUCUACAUUUGAGGCAUCAAACAACAAACUUCGACCAUAAUCGGAUUGAUUUUGCAAUUAAACACAACGGAUUUUGUUUCUAUAUAUCACCGAAAGUUCAAAGACUUAACAUAUUAUAUGAGUAUUGUAACUCAAUUAGUUAUUCCCCCACAAAAUACAUGUCCUACGUACAUCAAGAUUUUAUUUCCCUUGGUCCUGUCCUUGAAUUUUGUACUGAGCUUAAAAAUGGUUUUUAAUUUUUCCUUUUGUUUCGAAACUCUCACCUCCUGCUCUUAUUAUUAUUAUUAUUAUUAUUAUUAUUAUUAUUAUUAUUAUUAUUAUUAUUCAGCCUUCUGGUACGUAACUAAGACCAAAAAUGUCUGUGACUCUGUGGUAUCAUUAUUUGCAGUUUAAUUAUAUUUAAAAUGAGACGAUUGAAUGACGCGUGUUCAUGAAGUGUAUAUAAUAUAAUAUGAAUAUGAUUACGACAUUACCUGAAAUUUAAGGAACUGAUAAGAACAUAAUCUGUUUAAAUAAUAUUGUAUGGAAGAUUUCCGAUUAUAAUUUAAAAUAUAUGUUUCUUUCAAUCUUUCUCUAUAAUUCAUUGUUCAUAUGACCCUACGUCAAGAAAAUAAAAUACAGAAUAUCUAAUAUCUCUAUCUAUAGGCAAACAAUUUCAAGAUUUUCUGGUUAACUUGUUAUACAAAGCGUUGAGAUGUGAGUAAAUUAGGGUAAAAAUUUAUUUAGUCAUUGUAUUUUAAGAUUAGUAUUCAUUUAGUCCCUAUAUUUUAAAAAUGUCUUGAAACAUCCCUGCCGUUACUUUUUAUUUCUUUUGGCUUACUUUUACAAUAUUACCCUUUUAUAAUAAUUUUUUUAUUUGGACAUUAAUAAAAAAUAAUUAAAUUAUCAAUUUAACCCUAAAAAUUAUAUUAAUUUUUAAUUAUCAAAAAUUGUAUGCAAACUACCAAGUGUGCAAAUGGUGCUUGCAAAAAAAUUAAUAUAAUUUUUUUAUAUAAUUUUUUAGAUUACAAUUAUUGUGCUAAUAUUCCUAAAUGAUCUUAAAACUAAAAAUUUGUCGAAUGACAAGAUCUUAGUUAGAUGUUUAUUUGUCAAUAAAUUAGUUAACCUGUUUUGUAAUCUGAUGACUAAGCUGUAUAUCUUUUGCUCACUCAAAUACAGGCAAAUCUUCAAUGCUUGGAAACUCUUAUUAAUAAAGAAAUGCAAAUAGCUCUUCUCAAAUUAAAUAAAGACCAAUUACCCGACAAUGCUUACUAUUUUCUUAAAGUGACUUGAUUGUGCUAAUAAAGUUAUGUGGGGAGAAAGAUAUCUAUAUGCCUAUCUGGAUGCAUGCGCCUGGUUGGAUAAGAAAAUGAUAGAAAUUAAAUGCCAAAGAAGUAGAUGAUGCAAAUUAAGUGGAUUUAUUGUUGAUAAUUGUAUGAGUUGACUAGCCCAUUUUACACGUGGAAAGUGGCUUCGAUUGGUGCAUGCAUGAGAUUUGUUUGAUUUUCCUGAUUUUAGAUGAUGAUUUCAAUCAUUCAGUUUGAAUUUAAAAUUUCAAUAAGUUAGAAAUAACGAUGCGGCACGGUAUAUGCGUGGAAUAUAUCUCCCUUUGGCCCUUUACUUUUUCAUGAUUUCAAUUAAUCAAUCUUGUAAUUUAUUUAUAUCUUUAUGUGAAGCAAGUGUACAAGGUACAUAUAUUUUAAGAAUUUUAAAAAGGUAAGUGACAAACAUAUUUUUAAAAUUUAAUUUUGAUAAUAAAUUUCAUCCUUAAUGCAAUUCUACCUAAGUAGUUUUGUAUGAUUCACUUUUAAAUUCCAACAAGAACAUCUAAUUACCUACUUCAAGUGAAAAGUGCGUUGAGUGAAUUUCAACAUAAAUAAGGUUGGUUUGAAUAAUUUUUAAAAAUUCAUAAGCUAAUUGCAUAAUUAGCCGAAACCUAAAAGACUAAAUUUAAAUUAUGUAAUUCUCGCUUUGUACAAUAUAUAAAACCUAAGUACUAACUCUUGGAGGGAAUUAACAUGCUUCGAAUAAAAUCAUUUUGAUAUCUCUUUUAAUUCACUGUGCAAAAGCUUGGAUAGACUUUGUUACUGUUUAUCGAAUUUGAGUGAUAAUAGUAACUACGUACCUAAUGAUUAUUUCAUUUAACAUGGCAAUGAGCUGUUCCAAGAGAUUUAAUGCCCAUUCAGUAUUGCUGGAUCACCUUUUGUGAUGAUCAAUAUCCCUCUUUACUACUUUAAAAGCCAUCAAUGAUCAAGAUGUUGAAAUAUGGGCGAGGAAAGAGAGGAUUUGGAACAAACUAUUAUCCAUUAAUCUCAACGGAAACAUGAUAUUAUAUGAACCACACUUGGACUUAGAAAGAAUGAUUUUGUUGUUGUUGUUGGUAAAAUCAGGCUCUCCAAGUGAACAACUGCUGUUGUAUUAUCCUGAUAAGUGGUACCCAAGAAUUGAGAGAUCUUGGACUAAUAAGUGUUUUUCUUUUUCGAUUUAUAAAUUUAAAGAGAGUCUAAUUUCUGUCAAGGGAGAAGAUCCAUGUGUUAAGAAUUAAGUGUUGAUUCAUCAUCGCUGAGCUGUCAUAGUAUCGUUGCUGAAUAACCAUGUUGGAAGGUCGUUAUGCAUACUAUUGAGAGUUGUUAGUUUCCUUCCAAAAGUUUUUUAUGUAUGGUUGGAUGUGAGCACACGAGUUUGUUGCUUUCAGAAGAUUCUACACACAACUAUAUAAACAAUAUUGUAAUCUCAAAUUACAAUAUGUAGAAUGAAUAUUUUUUUAUUUCUAAUUUCUCUCAAUUAAUAAUUUUUCUCUUUAUUUUCUAUGUAAACAAACAGAAUUCUCAAAAAAUAUUUCACUUUAACUUGGUAUCGGAGAUCAAUCUAAUGGCCUUAACAUGUUCCAAUCAACAACCUAAUGGCACUACCAUAACCUCUUUCACCUUUACAAAUCCAAUCAAGCUUGAUUUCAAGAGCUACACAACUUGGAAACAACAAAUACUCUCUUCAAUUCGUGGUAAUGGUCUCGAAGGCUACAUCAAUGGAUCAAGGCUAUGUCCUGAUCAAUUUCUUCCACCAAGAUAUGGAUAUGAAGGUUCUUAUUCAAAUAUUGAAGGUCAAGAAAAUCCAGAAUAUACAACAUGAAAAUGUCAAGAUCAACUCUUACUUAGCUGGAUCAUAUCAUCCAUGAGUGUUGAUAUCUUCAGUGUUGUGGUCAUUUCUAAGAUUUCCUUUAAGUUGUGGAAAAUCUUGAAAAACAAUUUGGAUCUAAAUCCAUAGCCAAAAAAAGUUCAUCUAAAAAUGCUUCUAAGCAAUCUGCAAAAAAGAUCCUUAACAAUGUCAGAAUAUUUCACAAAGCUUAAAACAAUUACUGAUGGCCCAGCCUGCCCUGUGAGUUAUUAGGAUCUGAUUACUCAUCUCAUUUUUUAUUUAGAUCGGUCAUGUUAUCUUGUGGUUGUUUACAUUGAGGCAAACAUGUUAACUAUGGAUCUUAGUGAAGCAUAUACUAUGCUUCUCACACAUGAGGCUAGACUGGACAAUAGUAAGCUUCAUGACAACAAAGAAAUUAAGAAUAACUAUGCAGUCAAUAUAGCUCAAGUUGGAAAUUUUUCAAAGAAAGGUAAUAAUAAUGCUCAAAAUAAUUGGAACAAGGCUGAGGGAAAUAAUUAGAACACUAAUUCUGGUGGAAGAGCUGGCUUUGAUGGUAAUGGAAGAUGAGGUUACCAGGGACCAAAUCGAGGAAAAUGAAAUUAGAAUAAUAACUUCAGAGGAUUUACUGGUGGUUUUAACAAUGGAUUUCCUAGUGACUUCAAUAACAACUAUGGCAGAGGUGGAUUUAACUCAAGAGGUUCUGAAAAGGUUUUGUUUAAGGAGGUGUUGCUUGUCAAAUUUGCUUCAGGUUUAACCACACAGCAGCUGAGUGUAGAGACAUGUUCAACAAGAAUUUUGUCCCAAAUUUGCCUGCUCCAAGUCAUUUUUUCAAUCAAAAUCAAGGAUCAAGGGCAGCUUUUAUGACUACAUCUGAAUGAGUUACUAAUCAAGGAUGGUAUCUAAAUAGUGGAACAACUCACCACUUAACUAAUACAGUUCAGAAUUUGAAUGAUGGUAAGAUCUUUUUUAGCUCAAAUUUACUAAUUAUUGGUAAUGGUCAAAGUCUUCAAAUUACUCACAUAGGUUAUACAUGUCUCUAUACUUUUUUUGGUACUUGUUUACAUCUGCAUAAUGUCAUGUAUGCCUCCAAAAUUACCAAGAACCUCAUUAAUGUUUCCAAACUUCUCGUGAUAAUGAUAUUACCAUUGAAUUUUUCUCUGAUAUUUAUUUCCUAAAAGACAAUGUGAAUGACACUCUGUUGGCUCAGGGGAUUGCUAAAGAUGGUCUGUAUAAGCUACUGUCAUAAGAGAAACUUAUAUCUUCUUCUUCUAUGCAAGUGUUUUAACCUAGUUCUAUAAUGUCAAUUUUCUCUUUCAAUGAUGAUGUCACUUCUGUUCAAGCCUUUAAUAGUGACUUAUAUUUCUGUUUAGAGUCCAAAUCUCCCAUAAGUUUUCACACUUAGGUUAUGUGUUAGCAAAUAUAUUGCAUAAUAGGCUUGGUCAUCCAAGCAAACAUGUUAUAUAAACUAUUUUAAAGAAUAAUUAUUUGCUGUCUGCUCAUGUUGAUAAAUCAAUCCUUUAGUUUUGUGAUGUUUGUCAGCUUGAAAAAUUACAUCAAUUACAUUUUUUAGUUACUAAAAUCAAAACAAAAUGUCCUUUAGAAUUGAUUCACACAGACUUACAUGGACUAGCUAUGUUCUGUCCAUGGAUGGUUAUAGAUAUUAUAUCUCUUUUGUUGAUGAUUUCACUAGGUAUUGUUGGAUUUUUCCUUUAGUUUUGAAGUCUGAUGCUCUUACUACAUUCAAACACUUUAAAUGCUUGAUUGGAAAAAAAUUCAAUCUUUCUAUUAAAGCUUUACAGUUUGAUAUGAGAGGUGAAUUUAAAAUUCUUUCAGUCUUUUCUUCAACCAAAAGACAUCUAAGCUAGAUUUAGUUGUCCUCACACACAUCACCAAAAUGGUGUUGUUGAGAAAAAGUAUAGACACAUAGUUGAAACUAGUUUAACCCUUCUUACCCAAGCUAAAAUGCAUGUUUCUUUCUGAUGGGAGGCUUUUCAAACAAUCUCUUAUCUCAUUAAUAGAAUGCCAACCUCUAUUCUCAAUAAUUUAUCUCCUUAUCGAAAACUUCAUUACCAAUCACCAAAUUAUCAGCUUCAUAGAAUGUUUGACUGUGCUUGUUACCAUUUUCUUAAACUUUACAAUCAAUACAAGCUUGAAUUUUACUCCAAAAAAUGUUUGUUCUUACGUUACAGCCCUCUUUAUAGGGGCUAUAAAUGUCUAGUCAAAUCUGGCAAAGUUUAUAUUUGCAGCUCAUGUCAUUUUUAAUGAGUUUGAUUUUCCAUAUUUUGAAUUAUUUUCAUCCUCUUCAUCUUCUUCUGAGUCCUUCCUAAUUUACUCUCCAUCAAUUUUCAUUUUCAAUGAUAGUGGCUUCAAUCAUUCGUCAGUUAUACCUCCUACCUCAGUAGUGUUACCAUCACCAUUCUUUCCACAUUUACCUCAACAAGUUCUAUAUUUUCCUUCUUAAACCUCUAAUUCCUCAUCCCUUCAUUAUGUAUCCAAUUCACCUGUAUCACAACCACCAUCUCAACUAGUAAUCCCAACUUAUCUAAUAAUUACUUGAGCCAAAUCUAGCAUUUUCAAGCCAAAAACCUAUUUUACAGCUACACAGACCAUGAGCCAGUGAGUGUUAAAAUUGCUUUAGCUGACAAGAAGUGGCAUAUGGCUAUGCAAGAUAAGUAUAAUGCUUUGUAGAGAAAUGGUACUUGGACAUUGGUUUCAGUUGAGAUAGCCACCAAACUUGUUGGAAAUAAGUGGAUUUUUCAAGUUAAAUACAACCCAGAUGACGGCAUUUCAAAGUAUAAAGCUCGACUAGUUGUAAAAGGGCUUCAUCAAACUUUUGGAGUAGAUUUCUUUGAGACAUUCAGUCCUGUUGUAAAACCUUGCAUUGUUCCAGUUGUUCUCAACUUAGCAGUCAUGAAUUAUUGGUCUAUAGCAAUUAGAUGUCGACAAUGCUUUUCUCAAUGGCUUACAUAUUGAAUAUGUGCUCAUGCUUCAGCUAGAAGGCUUUAUUAAUCCUCAAUUUCUCAAUCAUAUCUGCAAGUUGAAUAAAGCCAUUUAUGACCUUAAACAAGCCCCUAGGGCUUGGUAUGACAUAUUAAAAGGAUCUCUAAUUUAGUAAGGAUUCAGGUCUUCCAAGUCAGAUACUUCAUUAUUUUUCAAGCAUAUUAGAUGUGAUAUUUUAAUCAUUCUUGUCUAUGUGGAUGAUAUUCUAAUAACAGGUUCAAGCAAUGCUCAGAUAACAUGGGUUAUUAAUUAGCUUGGAUAAGAAUUUGCUCUCAAAGACUUGGGGGAUUUCAAUUAUUUUCUUGGAUUGGAAGUGACUCCAUCUAUUGAUGGCUUACAUAUAUCUCAAACUAAGUUUGUUAGUGAUAUCUUAAGGAAAGCUCACAUACUUGACAGUAAAGGUUGUAACACACCUAUAUGUGUUGCUAAUAAAUUGCAAAAAAAUAAAGGUUGUUUGUUUAAAAAUCAUUCACUUUACAAAAGCAUUGAUGGUUCUCUACAAUAUUUAACACUGAUCAGUCCAGAUAUUGCAUUUACAGUCAAUAAGUUAAGCCAAUUUUUGGUUGCUCCAACUACUUUAUACUGGCAGGCCUAUAAAAGAGUGUUGAGAUAUAUGCGAAGUAUAGCACAUUUUGGACUUCAGUUCUUCAACUCAGGUUCUCUAACCUUGACAGCCUAUUUUGAUGCAGAUUGGGGGUUUGAUCUAAAUGACAGAAGAUCUAUUGGAGGAUAUUGUGUUGAUCUUGGAACUAAUCUUGUGUCAUGAUCAUCUAAGAAACAAAAUACUGUCUCUAGAUCAACUGUUGAAUCCGAAUAUAGAGCUUUAACAUUAGCCACAUCUAAAAUUUUGUGGACCAAUUAUCUAUUGAAGGAACUCAAAGUAUCACCCAACAAGCCUCAUGUUCUUCAUUGUGGUAAUAAAAGUGCAGAAGCUUUAGACAACAAUCUUAAAUAUCAUUCUAGAACUAAACAUAUAGAAUUGGAUCUUCAUUUUGUUAGGGAACACGUUGCCAAUAAGGAAUUGGUCAUUGAACAUGUAUCCAGAUCUGAUCAAUUAACUGAUGUGCUUACAAAGCCUCUUAGUUUUGAUCAUUUUGCUUAUAUGAGAACUAAGCUCAAUGUCUGUUCAAGACCUUGAGCUUACAGGGGAAUGUUAAGAAUUAAGUGCCGAUUCAUCAUAGCUGAGCUGUCAUUAUAUCAUUGCUAAAUAUCCAUGCACAUUGGAAGGUCAUUUUGCAUAUUGUUAAGAGCUAUAGUUUCCCUCUAGAAGUUUGUUAUGUAUAAGUGGAUGUGAGCACAUGAGUUUGUUGCUUUCAGAAGAUUUUACACACAACCAUAUGAACAACAUUGUAAUCUCAAAUUACAUUAUGUAGAAUGAAUAUUUUUUGGUUUCUAAUUUCUCUCAAUCAAUAAAUUUUCACUCUGUUUUCUAAGUAAACAAACAGAAUUAUUAGAACAUAAUCAAAUAGACAGAUGAGGAUUUUGACAUGAUAUGAGAAAAGUUAUAUCCGCUCUCCAGUGAUUAUAGGGGUGCUUUGCUCUUCAUGAUGUCAAGAUUUCAAAGAAAUGAAUCAAAUAAUAACCAAUUUGGCAUCGUUAAUCCUUGACUUGUAUCAAAUUUUUGUGAAUUUCAAUUUAUCAAUAGUUGUUUUGUAAGUUGAUCGAACACAUCCGUUGUUUAAAUUUGUAUUAACGAACAUGAAGGCGAUAGUUACGCUUAAUUAACACUUUUUCUUUGCCUUUCUUUUUAAUGUUACCCAAUGUGCAGCUGAAAACUCUUUUCAAGUCGGUUUGCCAAACGGAAUAAGCUACCCGAAAGCCGAAUACAAGAAGGCAAUAAAAGUUUAUAAUAUUAACCUGAACUAAUGUGACGAUUUUCUGUAGAAGUCGCAUCAAGUCAAACAUACUUUAACAUAUAUUAAUAACAUAUUAACUUGAUGUCACAGAUUCAGGGUUCCUUACAUUGCUAAAUUAAAAAUGGUUAUAAGGAUCUUUUAGAAGUAGUAAUUACAUGCGUGGAUGCCCAAACGAAGUAAGAAAUUUCAAUCCAUGGCAGCAAUACAAAAAUGAUGGGAAGAGAUGAAAAUGUGAACCAUCAACUUAUCCGACCCAAUUAAGGGACUGUCUCCUCUGACGAAGUAAAAAAUAAUCCGAUUUUGGUGCCAUUAAGAAUAUUGUAUAACUAGUUUUAGGAGUGGCAAUUUGGGUUAGGAUUUGUUUACUCUAUUUGAUUCGAUGCAAAUUAAAUGAGUUUGGAUUUGAAAAAAUUGUUUCGUUUAAUAAAUAAGUGAAUUCUAUUCAAUUCAUUAAUUAAAUGGAUCUAAUAUGGGUUUUAGAACAUUGAUUCAUUUAUUUGUUAAGGAUUCGUUUAGUAAAUGAGUUAUAAACGAAUCGAAUAUAAUCCAUUCGUUUAAAUUAAUUUAAUUAAAUUAUUUAUUUAUACUUAGUAUGAAAAAACCUUAAAGUUUGAAGGCUAAUAUAAUAAUUAUAAAUGAUAAUAAGUUUGUAUUUUGUAGGAUGUUAAAUUUAUGCUCUUUUUAUAUUUUAUUUUGUUUAAUUUUUGUUUAUUAAUUAUAUUUUUGUAAAUAAAUUCAUAUUCAAUUUAUUCCUUAUCGGAUAAACAAAUUGUAAAGGAAUCCAGAUUCGAUUUGAUUCGUUUAUUAAUUCUACUAAAUGAAUUAAACGAAUCGAAUCGAAUCGAAUCGAAUAUUUGUUUAAUAAAUGAAUUGAAUCCGAAUCCUAAGAUUUCUAUUUGUUUAAUGAAUGAAUCGAAUUCGAAUCAGCAAAAUUUUGACCCAAUUCGUUUACAAUUUGAUUUGAAUAUGACUCGUUUAUUCGUUUUGCCAACUCUAACUAGUUUAUUGUGUUUUUGAUUAAAUAUUACAUAAACUACACACUAUCAACGUUAUAUUGUACUUAUAAUUUUUUUAUUAUUUUACUUUAAGUGUACAACGUGUAAGUAAGCUAAUUUUCCCAGAUCUCUAUAUUGGGUUUUGAGUGUAAAAUGAUAAAAUGAUUUGACAUACAAAUACGGUUGGAAAAGUAUCAUAAUAAAUUACUAUUUUAAAGCAUAAUUUUGAGUGGACCUACUUUGUAUAAGUGAGAGGUAAUAAUAUGUACUUUUAUACUUAAAAUGAUGCUUGGGUGAAUAACAAUGCACAAAUUACACCAUUAAUUGCAUUGACUAAGAGUUGGAGUUACAAAAAAUUGUAGUAGCUAGUUAAAUUUAAAAUUAAUUACGAAAUUAAUUCCAGAAUAUAUCACUUGUAAUUGCCAAGUAAUUCAGAAUUUAUAAUAGGCAAUUAAAUUUAUAUUUUAAUAUGAGAUUAAAUCUCGAAUUUAAUAUGUGGUUAAUGAAGCCGCAUUUACAUUUUGAAUUUAAUUUAAGAAUGAAAUAAAAGGUUUAACGACAACAAUUAUACUUUUAAUUAGCUACUGUACCUAAUAAGAAAUUAAAUACAUCAGUUACAAAAUUUUAGCAGUCAAAUUUGUGGAUAAAAAUGCCUCUCAUACAAUUCUAUGAAUUGACAUUCUUCUUCACUUCAAGAAAAUGGCUAGGAAUAAUUUAAGAGAAAUAAGGAUAGAAGAAUAAGAAGACAAACUUCAAUACCUCCUUUGUCAAUGUCAUAUAUCAUCAAUGUCAUUUAUCCAAUUUCCAUAAAGUUUAGAGACAAUGGAACUUUUUUGUACAAUAACCUCUUAGUGCGCUAGAAUUAUUCAUUACCAUUGUCUCUUGGAAAAUAGGCACUGUUCAAAACCUAAAGCACUUAAUCUCUAGCGCCGAAUUUAUUUUAAUGAAGCUAUAAUAUUAUGCAGGUAGGGGAUGACNNNNNNNNNNNNNNNNNNNNNNNNNNNNNNNNNNNNNNNNNNNNNNNNNNNNNNNNNNNNNNNNNNNNNNNNNNNNNNNNNNNNNNNNNNNNNNNNNNNNUGGACAGUCUGAGGCUGGGCCGGACUGGAGCUUCCGUUAAAUUUUUAAAUAAAUUUUUAAUAAAGUUAAAAGUUAAAAAUAAAAUAUUUAAAAUAAUGAUUUUCUAAUAUAUAAUAGAUAAAUAGUCAAAUACAUAAAAUAACACAAUAUAAUAAACCACAAAUAAUAUUUAUAAAUUAUAUUCUUUUAAUUUAUAAAUUAUAAAGCUUGAGAAUUUUCCAUAAACCAUUAAUUAAGUUCAUUCACAUCUGACUUUAAAUUUUUUUACCCAUGUCUAUGGUAUCACAAAGCAAGCAGGGCCUAAAGCUUAUGACCCUAAGCUGGCCGACCCUAACUUUUUUACCCCACCCUACAUUGAGGUCUUGAUUUGCAUUCUAUUUUUAUAUCAUAUUUGAUUUGUUAUCUCAUUAUUGUAAUCACUAUUUUAACUGCUAUAUCACUGUUUUAACUGUAAUCAUUGUUAUUUGUAAAGUCCCAAUUUAUGAUUUGUAAUUUCAGAAUGCAUUCCUCCUAUUCCAUUGUAUUUCCCUUAUGAAUACUUGGAAAAAGAUAGAAGCUAUUGGACCAAAAAAUUAACACCAAAUCCGAAUUUUGUUACUAAGAUAUAAAAAUUCUCAGUUUCCUAUAGUUACAAAACCACCAUAUAUAAGUAGGAAUUUCAAGUCCCUAAAUGUCAAAAUUUGGUAAAAAUGCGAGGAUCAUCAUUACCAAGUACGCUGUGAUUUUAUUUUCAUUAGUUUGCCAAAAGCUUUGAAACAAUUUUUUUUUUUUGCCAAAAUAUGAAUCCGACGGCAUGAAACAAAGCACCCUUAUCAUAUUUUCUCAUAAGAGAAUCUUGGCCUGUUUCUUCGAUACAUCAUCUUCUUCCUUAAUUGAUAUUAGACUGAAUAGACUCUCUUCAAAUUUAUGAACUGACAAGUGAAAACUUCUUAGUCAAAUUCUCCAAGAUCUCUCAUUUUUCCCGAGGAUUAGGAUUGUAUAAGAGCAGUCGUGGAAUUGAAGAGUCGGGUUCUGAAAAAAUCCAAUUGGCAAAUAUUUGAUAUUAACGAAUAAAAGUUCGCCCCAAAUCCUCUCUUUCAUCACCUAUAUUUCAACAUUAUCAUUAAUGGUAUUAAAAAAUAAUAAAGAUAGAUUGUCAUCGUAUAUGUCAAGUGACACAGAAAGUAAAAAUAGGAGGAUAUUGAUAAAACAACAAUAUAAAAUAAACAAUGUUGAAUAAUAUAAAUGACAUUUUGAACAAAAAUCAUAAUUUUUUUUUUCAAUCUUCGGGCUUUGCGGUUUUGAUCUUGGUAUGGACUUAAGUCCACCCAAAUUGCUAAUCUAAGGAUGCAAUUCGUUAUAAGCUGAUCAUUUACAUCCUUCCGAGCACCGUGAGACAUUACAUAUCCUAAUUUCGUACAAAAAACAUUGGAUUAUGUGUUUCUAUUUAUAAGUGUGCAGGUUUUGUGUUUUCUGUGAUUUCUUGAAUAAGUAUGUAAUAAGACUGCAAUAAAAGAUUUUCCCAAUUUUACUUCUCAAUAUGUUCAUUAAUUGGAUCAAAUGAAAUCAUGCAUGAACUCUUAUGAUAACAUUUUUUGACCUACAUUUCUCAUUAUUGGUUUUGGCAGUCUCUUCUUUUAGCGAACACUGGCAACACAAAAAGAAAAUUAAAAAAGGGGGAAACUGUUAAAUUUGUAAUGGCCUAUUUGGUUAAUUUUAUGUAUUUACGUAACUUAUAUUACAGUAGUUUCUAAAUUAACAAGCCUGUCUGGUUAUAUUCAAGAAAAUUGAUGUACUUAGAUAAUUAAUACUAUAUGUAAAGUUACUAAUAUAACCUUUUCCUAGUGCGGUUCUGGUACGCGUUUCCUUUUCUUACUACAGUUUUAAUUUCAUUUAGGAAACUAGUUUCCUAUUCAAUUAGGGUAAUUGUUAUUACAUAAAAAUCUAAUGGGAAUAGGAAACUAUUUCCUAAUUCAAUACGGCAAGUUAUUGUCACAUUAUAAAUACCCGUGCAGAAAAAAAAAUUGGUUCCAUAUAUCGCACUGAAAAAAAAAUGGAGCAAUACGAAAAGAUCAGAAACUUAUGAUAUUUUUAAGGAAGAUGAAUAAUCAUCCCAACAUUGUCAAGUUGAGGAAUCUUGUCAAAGAACACGAAGACGUAUUCAUUGUGUUCGAUUACAUGGAAUCUGAUCUUCUAAAACUUAUGAAAGAAAGUGCGGGUCAAAAUUUCUCUGAAGAUGAAGCCAGAAACUUGUGUUUUCAAGUGUUUCAAGGUCUCCAUUACAUGCACCGACAGGGUUAUUUUCACCGUGACCUAAAGCCUUCCAACUUGCUUGUUUCGAAAGGUGUGAUCAAGAUAGGGGAUCUUGGAAUGGUGAAGGAAAUUGAUUCCAGUCUGCCGUGCACUGAUUACGUUACAACUCGCUGGUAUCGAGCUCCUGAAGUGUUGCUUUUAUCCGAGAUAUGUGGACCUGAAGUUGAUAGGUGGGCGAUGGGUGCUAUUAUGUUCGAGAUGUUGAGUUUCAGGAUUCUUUUUCCGGGAAAAAAUUCAGCUGAUCAAAUUUACAAAAUCUACGGCAGAUGGGUGGCGUGAAUCUAAGUGAGUUGUUACCAUCAGCUAGUCGAGAAUCCAUCAGCUUGAUUUCAUGGCUUUGUUCCUGGAAUCCACGCAUGAGGCCUACGGCUGCGGAAGCUUUGGAACAUCCUUUCUUCCGGAGCUGCCAUUUUGUUCCUCGAUCGGUGCCUCUUCUUUGCAAUAAUUUUGAAGCUGUUGCGUUUCCUACUGCCACAGUCACAAUGCAAGGACGUUCUUUGACAUAUUCUCAGGUACCGAAUGAUGGGCAAUUAUGUUCGUGCGUCAAAUGUGAGAUGCAAAGGACUAACCAUGAUCACAUGAUCAUCAACUCUGCCAAACCGGCAACCUCCGUGAUUUGUAAAACUGGUUACGCGACUAGAACUGAGAUGUUGGCUUCUCGCAUGCAACCGUUGCAGCAGCUGAUGAUGUCGAGGCCUCCCGGAUUUUGAAGAAAACGUUAAGGCUGGUUAUUGUAUUUGUACUUAGAAACCUAACUACGUACGUACUGAUUGUACUGUCGAAGAUUAUUCAAUGCAUUGAUAUUCAUCUCCUCAGCUUCCCUAGUGUCUUUUAUGUUGAAUUCAAUGAGUGUAAGUCCAUGACCAUUUUUUUUUUUAAAGUUAUGGUCAAAUGUGAGAUGCAAAGGACUAAUAAUGAUGAUCAUAUGAUCAUCAACUCUUCCAAUCCAGCAACCUCCAUGAUGCAUAAAACUGUUUAUACAGCUACAACUAAGAUGUUGGCUUCUCGGAUGCAGCCAUUGCAGCAGCCGAUGUCGAGGCCUCCUGGAUUUUGAAGAAAAUGUGAUGGCCGAUUACUGUAUUUGUUAUCAAAAAACCUAGCUACGUACGUAGUAUCUCUGUUGUGGAUAUUUUAAUAGCUUCAUUCAUUCAAGUAAGCAAAAAUUACUCAAUACUGUCAUUUUUUCGAAUAAUUUGAUACCACUGGCCCUAGAAAGGACAUUAACGGGUAUUCAAUGCACUGUCAUCUUCUCAAAUUAGCUAUUGUCCUAUACAUUGAUUUCACCGAGUGUAAGUCCAUUUUUUUUUUAAAUUGAAAAAAUAUUAUUUAGAAGAUAAAAGAGUGCAUGAGAGUGAUAAAAGUUACGACAAAUGAAAAUUAGGAACACCAAAAUUCUAGAAGAAGAGGCUUCUGAAUUGAAUGGGGAGGUAGAUUCCACAGUGGAAAAAUGAUAACUAAGACUAUCGUUAGUUAAAGUAUCCCCCACUUUGUUACCUUCACGAUAAAUAUGUGAUAAAUUAUUAUAUUAAGCGAAGCAAGUAAAGGCAAUUAAACCAACUAGUGUGGAGUUUCCAUGGAAGAGAGUAGCCAAAAUUCUGAAUACAUUGAGUCAUAGACAUGGCGUCACAUUAAUCCGAAGUUUAUGCCAACCCCUUAACCAUGCUUGUCCAAUAGCAAGAAUAACUACCAUAAAUUCAGCAUAAAAAGAGGAUUCAUGACCAACGAACGUAGAACUGCCAAGGAAGGUUCCAUGAUGAUCUCUAGAAAUUCCCUCACAAGCAGAUAACCUAGGAAUAUUAUUCUACUGUUGACCUUUAUCAAAGUUGGAGGGGACACCAUAUCACUGUAGCUAUUUUCGAAGCUUUUCCAAAGCAUGGAUCAUUACCCAACCGGGCAAAAAUUGCCAAAUCACGAAAGUGUGCAAGAGUACUCCCUAGGCAAGAUUGACAAAGAGUAAAUAUUAAAUUUUUACAGUAAGCUAUGGCAUUAUGAAAAGGGAGAGUUGCAUCUUGAAAUCAAAUAUAUUCAUUUUUCGUUUUUAAAUUAUAGCUUAAUGGCAACCCAGAUAGCUCCACGUGAGUGGAUUCAAACCCCAAAUCUAUUAUUUCAAAUCAAAAGAUUAAAAUUCACCAAUUGAUCAACUAUAUAUCUGGCGUCUAACUAUGACCAACCUCAAUUAACGGACGUCCAUCAACUAGAUUAAUUCUCAAAAACCUGCUACUUUCUAGUGUGUGGAAGAAACAAAGUUCUCAAAGAAGAUAACUUCACAAUACAUACAACUCCUUGCUAACUCAAAUUUAAGCCAACGCCAUGUUUGAUGAAAAUUUAUGGUUGCGGGUUGUGAUUCCAUUUAUGCCAUAAGAAAAUCAAAAGGGUAUGUUUUCGAAUUAUGAUUGCAAAAUUCCAAUCAAAAGGGAAAAGUUUUGGCAUGGACCAAAAGUUUUUUUCCAUUCAUUUCUUAUCACAUUUAUAUUUCAACUAACUAUAAUAAUAUAUAUACACUUAAUAAAUAAUAAAUAAAUAAAAUGUAAUAUUUAAAUAUAUUUUGGAUAGACCACUCGGUCUUUGGCCGAGUGAUGGAUUACUUACUCUCACAUUUGUAAACAUUUGUGAGAGCACCAGUUUGAGAUCUCAAGGGCUCUCCCUUAAUUAAGUAUGAUUGAUUGGAGUCAAUUGUAACUUUCUCUUUUGUAAAUUUUAAGUGAAGUGGACGACCCUCUAAUAUCCCUCGAAUAAUUGUGAAGGUAGACAAUUUGGUGGAGCGGACAACCCUAAGAUAUAUGUGAAGAUAGACAAUCUGAAAAAGUAUUUUAUAAAAUUUAAUGUACGUAAAGUUAUAGUUUCACUAUGUAAUUAUAAUAUCUGAUUGUAUUAUUAGUAUUAAAAAAAAAAACUCUUCUGGAUAGAUAUUAAACCUUUCAAAACCUUUACAUACCAAAUAAAGAGUAAACUGAUUUGAGCUCUUGUCCGGUAGCUCCAAAUAUUUUUCAUGCUUGAAACAAUGUUGAGCUGGAAUAUGUUUUUGAUUACCAAAGCUUAAUCACUUUGAACAUUACAACUGAAGAGCAUAGAGGAUUUGUCAUAAUUGAAUAAUUUUCCAGAGGUUGUAGUGUAGCAAUUAAAAAUUCUUUUCAAAUUUUGACAAUCUGUAGCUGAUGCCCUAGUGAAUACAAGACUGUCAUCCACAAAAAGAAUGUGAGAGAUUUUAGUGCCAUUGCCAAAUGACAGCCCAUGAAUGAGCUUCUACUGUUCAGCCCACACCAGCAAAGAAGAAAAAGCCUCUGCACAUAUGAUCAAAAGGUAUGGAGAUAGCAGACAUAUUUUCCUUAGCCCACGCUGAGGUUUGAUUAGUCCGCUAAUCAUACCAUUUAUAAUUACAGAAAAAGAAGCAAAGCUUAUACACCUCAUGACCAAUCGUACAUAAUUUUGAAAAAAACCUAGCUCCAACAUGGUUUGCUCAAGAAAAUUCCAUUCUAAUCUAUCGUAGGCUUUACUAAUAUUGAGCUUUAUAGCCACAAGGCUAUUUCUUUUCCCCUUACCGUGUCUUAUUUUAUAGGAGCAUUUGUGACCUACAGUGAUAUUGACGGUUAUCAGCCUAUUAGGGAUGAAAGCACUUUGCAUUGGGGAUAUGAUUUUGGACAGGGUUUGUUUAAGCCUUUUUACUAUUGUCUUAGCAACAAUUUUAUAGAUAACGUUACAAAGACUAAUAGGCCUAAAAUCAGUGACUUUUAUAGGUUUUCCAAUCUUAGGAAUUAGAGCAAUAUAUGCAUGAUUGAGAGGGCCUAUAGUACCUUGCUUGUUGAGGAUGUGGAGGCAAGUAGUGAUAACUCCGGAUUUAAUCGUUUGCCAAUGUUUUUGGUAAAAGACUGCUAGCAAUCCAUCAGGCCUUGGAGUCUUCGUUGGACACAUCUGUGAUAAGGCUUCAACAAUUUGCUCUGUUCAGAAAGGCUUGUCCAAUUGCUCGUUCAUGUCAUUUGAGACCCUCGGUGUUAUCCCUGAAAGAGCUGCUGCUAUUUGGUUCUAGCUUGGUCUGGAUGUGGUGAACAAAUUUGUGAAAUAAGUGCAAAACUCAUGCUCCACUUCUUCAACAUUUUUAAUCGAUCUUCCGGUUUCAUCUUCAAUUCCCCAUAUUACAUUCUUUUUCUUCUGCGAUGAGGCUUUAUAAUGGAAAAACUUGGUGUUCUUAUCCCCCUUUUUAUGCCGAUCCGCUCUCGAUCGCUAUUUUCAGAAAAUCUCUUCACCAACCACUAUGUUAUGAAUAUGUCUCUCCACCCAUUUAAUUUCAUCCCCAAAUUCAUACUGCACAUUUUUUCCUUUAAGCUCUGCAACUGUUUCUUCAACUUCUUCAGUUUCUUUUCUCUCCCCUUAAAUUCUUCCUUGCUACACAGAAUCAAACUAGCCAUGGAAUCUUUAAUCACCUUAUGGGAUAAAUGUAUGGGAUCAUCUAUGUUCCAGCAUCCAUGUUUAUGCCAUUCUUCUUUAAUUAUACUUUUACAGGUGUCAUAUGAGAUCCACAUAUCUUCAUAAUGGAUUUGUGAAGUUCUCUUUAUUUGAUAAUUCAGGCCAUUACUUCUAUUAUAAACCUCCAUCAACAUCGGGCUGUGAUCGAACAUCCAACUCUUGAGAUUAACAGCUACACAGUCAACAAAUCUCUCACUUCAAACCUCAUUGCAUAAAAAUCUGUCUAAUCGUUCUUCCACAAAGUUAGGGCUAAAUCUUCCGUUACCCCAUGUAAACAGAUAUCUCUUGCAGCCUACAUCCUUUAGAUUAUAAUCUCUUAAGGCUUCUCUAAAGUCACUAAUUUGGUUUGGAUUUUUAUCAUUGCCAACACUCUUCUCAUGUGGGUGUAAAAUUUCAUUAAAAUCACCGAAACAUAACCAAGGUAUGGAAGAUAAAUCUGAUAGGCGUCUCAUUAAUGUCCAUGUGUGCUUUUUUUGUUGCAUUUCUGGAUGUCCAUACACUUAUGUACAUUGCAUUUGCUUUCCAUUGCCCAUUUGUUGUUCAGCAUCAAUGUGGUGCUUACUAAAUGACUUAAUUUGCACACAAAUUUCAAAGUUCCAAAGCAUUGCAAGACCUUCUCCCCUUCCAUUACUAUCCAUAGCAAAACAACUAUCAAAAUUUAGCUUACUACGAACCGUAUCCAUUUGCAUAGAUUGCAACUUUGUCUCACUCAAAAACAUAAGUUGAGGUCUAUGAAUUUGGAGAAUUUGUUUCAUUGCUAGGAACAUCCGGGAAUCCCCCAAACCCCGAAUGUUCCAGCUGAGGAUUUUCAUGGCUUCCAGCGUUCUUGAUCGCCAACCUCUACCGAUAUCUCUUAUAUGUUUGAGUCUGCAAUUUCCAUUCCCUCCAUUGCCAACGGUUCCUAGCUCAAAUUGAGUCUUGCCACUGGUGAAUUCAAUUGAUAUUACUUUGUUUCUAAUUUGGGUAGGCUAGUCACUUUCAUCUUCUUUUGUUUUGGACUUUGCCCAGUUAGCUCACAACUUGGCCUUUUUAACACCCCUAACCUAUAUUUGUUUCCACCAUUGGAGUUUGUGUUUCGGGCUUGUAAUUUUCAUUUCCUUCUAUUGGGUCUCAUUGGAGCCCUUCGAGACCAAUUUCCUCUCUUUGCUUCUUCCGCGCCUUCUUAGUACAAUAUCUCCUCAUAAACUUUAAUUGGUGUUGCCUCCAAACUUUCUCGCUUGUUUUUAACAUUUUUAUUUCUCGCAUGAAUUCCCACAUUUCCAAGUCCUCUUGUGUUUCCCUCUAUCUCAUGCUUCUUUUUGCCGCUUGUUUGCUGUGCCAUUGUUAUUUCCAACAUGCCAUUCAUUAAACGCUUUUCACCUACUCGUUCCACCUCAUCACCUAUAGCUAAUUCAUUAGUUUGACCCAUCUCUUCCUGAUUUGGUUUUGUCAACCAGGUUACUUUGACUCUGUUGAGGUUGUUAUGAGCAGCCAUAGUGUUCUGAGUUUGCCGAGUUACUCACUAAUUUGCCACUAUCCCUAUUCCAUCUCUCCUUGAUACGGUGCUUCUUUGAGCGUCCUCCUACUGUAACUGCCUUCAUCCACACCCCAUAUGGAAGUUCCUCUUUUCGUUGACCCUAAUACUUAGCACAUUCCUUGAACUAGUGGCUAAUAACUCCACAAAUGAAAUAAAAGUCAGGCAAUCAUUCAUAAUCUAUAGACAUUGGAAUAUCUGCAUCACCCUCUUGUAAGAUCUUUUCUAAUGGCUGAGUCAUUUUGAUCGAAAUUCUAACUCUUACAAAUUCCCCAAUAUAUUCACCAUAUUCGUUUGUUUCAACCUCCUUUACUAUUCUAAUCUUCCCACCCAAUUCUUGGAGAAAAUAUCUUUCCAAACAGGCAACUCGGACAUUUCGAAUCUACACCCAGAAUGUUGUAUGAGUGAAAGACUGUUUUGUGAUCUCCCCCAAUCUUCCCACCCAAUUCUUGGAGAAAAUAUCUUUCCAAACAGGCAACUGGGACAUUUCGAAUCUACACCCAGAAUGUUGUAUGAGUGAAAGACUGUUUUGUGAUCUCCCCCAAUUCCUUUCGGUUCUGUAAGGACAAUUAAGGCCUUAUCAAAGUGCCAAAGGCCUCCUGCCAUCACCCUUCUUUUAUCAGCUUCAUCUGCAAACUUGAACAUAAAGAUAUGAGCACCCAAGCUCUCUAUCUUAACUUCUUUAAUUGUCCUCCAAACUUGUUGUAAUGCCAUCUUCAGCCCUUUCUUAUGAACUCCUCUUGUAAGAAGUAUCUUGCCCAUCAAAUAGCCAGCCAAUACUUUCUCUCUUUUUUCUUUCAUUCUCACUUCCAAAGUUACUUUAUUUUUUUUUUCUCUUUGAUAGUUAUCGCUUUACACUUACGAAUUAAUUCCUUUGUAUCCAUAGCAUUUAAGACCUUUCAGAAAUAAUUGUUGCAUUCACUGUUCUAAAAGUAACCUUGUGUUUAAAUCCCUUACCUGUAACACCCUAGGCAAAUCUCACAUCGGCAAAACACAUGAUAAAUACUGGGUUUAUAAAGGGUGAUCUACAUCUUAAUUGACAAGAUGCGUUUUGGGGUGUAUAGGCGCCGUAGAAACAAACUUGUACAGAGCUUCUUAAGGCCCAACGCGGACAAUAUCUUGUCAGGUCUAGGUUGGGUCAUGACAUUAUGGUAUCAGAAUGGCUCUGCGUAUCAUCUUAAGCAAUGUUGGGGCAAACCACAGCGAGGACACUGAGUCCCCAAGAGGGGUGUGUGUAACAUCCUAGGCAAAUCCCACAUCGGCAAAGCAUGGGAGAGAUGUUGGGAUUAUAAAGGGUGAUAUACACCUUAACUGGCAAAACACAUUUUGGAGUAUAUGGGCGCCCCAGAAAUAAAACCGUGCAAGCCUUAUUAAGACCCAAAGUGGACAAUAUCUUGUAAGGUCUGGGUUGGGUCAUGACAUUAUGGUAUCAGAGUGGCUCUGUGUCCUCUUGAGCGAUAGUGGAGCAAAACUCAGCGAGGACGCUGAGUCCCCAAAGGGGUGUAUGUAACAUCCUAGGAAAAUCCUACAUCGGUAAAGUAUAGGAGAGAUGUUGGGUUUAUAAGGGUUAUCCACACCUUAAUUUGUAAGACGCGUUUUGGAGUGUAUGGGCACCCCUGAAACAAACCCGUGCGGGCCUUGUUAAGGUUCAAAACGGAUAAUGUAUUGUCAGGUCUGGGUUGGGUCAUGACAUUAUGGUAUCAGAGCGGCUCCACAUGUCCUCUUGAGCGAUGGUGAGGCAAACUUCAAUGAGGACGUUGAGUCCUCAAGAGGGGGUGUAUGUAACACCCUAGGCAAAUCCCACAUCGGCAAAGCACAUGAAAGAUGUUGAGUUUAUAAGGGGUGAUCUACACCUUAAUUGGCAAGACACGUUUUGGGCCUUGUAUAGGCGCCCCAGAAACAAACAAGCACAUCUAUUUUUUUCAAAAUUAAUAGUUGAGUCUUAAAUGUGAACUUAUUUAGUGGCUGCAAAUUAUGAACCCAUUUUUUAUUUCGGUGAAAACGAAAGUGUAAAAUGCAAAACAGAAAACGUAAAAUGAUAUGAUGCAAUAAUUACAUAAUUAAUGUUUUCCCUAAGAUAUAGUAAAAGCAUAUGUUUCACCAAAAAAUUUUGAAGCCUUACCGGUCCUCCCAGCCGUUUUAUUUAUUUAUUUAUUUAUUUUUAGUAUUUAUAUAAAUGAAACUAAAACUCUCGUCACCCACAUGAGUGGUUGAAUCUAAGCCACUUAAAGUUAAUAAUUCAUGGCUUGAGUGAGUUUGCUCCCCAGUUCGAGUCGCAGGGAAGUCGCCUUUGUUAGGAGAACCUGUGCCUCUCGGUUCGAGCGGGGACUUCUAGUCUAGGUUUUGGUACGGGCUUAAAGGUACCUCUCACAGUUGGGGUCCUCUCCAGGAUACCUCGUGGUCAAAACAAAAAAAAAAGUUAAUAAUUCAUGAAAUGGUGCCUUUGUUUUGUGGCGGUCCCGGGGCCUUUGCCUCUGAUUAAUAUUAUUCUUUUAGCGUGUGGAUUCCACAAAUCGAAACCCUUCGGAAUUUUAAUUAUUAUUUACUGAAAUAUCAUUUUCCCUAUGGCUUCUACAUAUUAUGCCUAUAGCUAGUGAUUGUUACGUAAUUCAUAUAAAAAAUCAAUUUUAGAAUUGUAACUAUUUUAAUUAACUGAUGCAAGGUAAAUUCCUUACAGAAAAAAUUCAUCUAUGUUCUCUUAGAUUAUAAAAGAUGAAAGUAGCGUAAUUAAGUUUAAGAGAAAACUGAUUUUAUUAAAUUUCAAGGACGAAACGAAAAAAAUAAUAAGAGAGAUAAAAAGAAUUUCUAAGAGAACGAAAGUAUCAUUCGACAAAUAAAUUUAAAUUCAUAAUUUUUUCUGCCCGAUCUAAUAUUAAUUCUUAGCGGCAAGCCUACGGCACAAGCCACAUAUAUGCAAUUAUGCAUAAUUUUUAUUGGUUAAAACGUGACAUUGAUGAUGUUGAAAGAACAAAUAAUAAACAAUAAUACAAUAAAACCUCCAAAUAGAAAUACUUUAUAUAUGAAUAAUUUCUUUAUAGUAAUUAAAAUUUUGGUCCCAAGUUGGGACCAGUUAUAAUUAAAAAUAAAUUUUACAUUGUAAUAAGUUAUAUUUUUUAUAAGUCCCGACUUAAUAAACUUACUUUCACAUAUUAAUAAUAUAUCAAAAAUAUAUAUCAUGUUACAUUUAAUAAUUAUUAAUUUAUUAAUACAUGACAUAAUUUACCCCUAUAUCACUUGCAUUAGAGAUAAUUAAGUAAAGACAAUAAUUUUUGUACUAUACUUCUAUUGAGUUAUAACCUCUUUAUUAAAAUAAAUUUCUCCAGUCUCAACAAUAUGAUUAUACAGAGAAUUUACUGUAUCAGGCUUUUUGAUGCGUAUAGAAAGCAGGACGAGAACACAAAAACACAAGUUUAAUUAAUUUAUUUGAAAAUACAUAGCAUGUUUCAGACAAGAAAAUUAGAUUAAACUCAAGUUUGAUAGUUAAUUUAUUUGAAAACACAUAACAUGUUUCAGGCCAAACGAUAAGAUUAAAUUCGAGUUUGUUAAGCACAAAAACUCUCUCGCAUAUGCCGCAAGCUAGCUUAUUAGAAAGAGCUGACCAAAUCACCCUCCGAUGAUGAUGAUCUUGUUGCAAUAUUAUUGUUUCCAUUGACCCUCCUGCAGUUCAAUCUAAUCUCCCCUUGAUUUCCUGUCAGUGGUUUCAAAUUGCCCAUUCUUAUCAUUGAGAUCACAAAGUUUUUAAAGAAAGCAGUCUGGUUCCUCCCAAAGUCCUCGACAAUGGCAGCGGUAUCGGCACCAGGAGUCGAAAACAACUCUUGAUCACUCUGCAGAAGGCCUUUGCGGAGUCUAAGAUUGGAGAAGUAUU
RNAcentral lists this long non-coding RNA (37586 nucleotides) under Citrus x clementina. RNAcentral's name for it is "Citrus clementina (C. clementina) long non-coding RNA (CCLE_LNC005207)". Lineage: Eukaryota; Viridiplantae; Streptophyta; Magnoliopsida; Sapindales; Rutaceae. The record is from RNAcentral.